GAGUUUGAUCCUGGCUCAGAAUUAACGCUGAUGGUAUGCCUAAUACAUGCAAGUCGAGCGAACCCCCUCGGGGGUUAGCGGCGAACGGGUGAGUAAUACAUAUCUAACAUACUCUGAAGAAGGGGAUAGCCGUUUGAAAAAGCGAUUAAUACCCUAUAAUUAGCCCCCCGCAUAAGCGGGAGGCUUGAAAGGAGCAAUCCGCUUUGGAAUUGGGAUAUGGUCUAUUAGCUAGUUGGCGGGAUAAAAGCCCCCCAAGGCGAUGAUAGAUAGCUGGAUUGAGAAGUCGAACAGCCACAAUGGGAUUGAGAUACGGCCCAUAUUCCUACGGGAAGCAGCAGUAGGGGAUCUUCCACAAUGGGCGAAAGCCUGAUGGAGCAAUACCAUGUGAACGACGAAGGUCUUAUUGAUUGUAAAGUUCUUUUAAGAGGGAUAAACAAGAUGGUACCUCUUGAAUAAGUGACAGCAAACUAUGUGCCAGCAGCUGCGGUAAUACAUAGGUCGCGAGCGUUAUUCGGAUUUAUUGGGCGUAAAGAGAGCGCAGGCGGAUGGAUAAGUUCUGUGUGAAAGGUAGCCGCUCAACGGUUACUUGCGCCGAAUACUGUCUGUCUAGAAUACGGUAGGGAGGUUCGGAAUUGAAUGUGGAGCGGUGGAAUGUGUAGAUAUAUUCAAGAACACCAGAGGCGAAGGCGGAACCUUAGGCCGAUAUUGACGCUUAGGCUCGAAAGUGUGGGGAGCAAAUGGGAUUAGAUACCCCAGUAGUCCACACCGUAAACGAUGGAUAUUUGAUGUUGGGAGUUGAGAGUCUCAGCGUUGUAGCUUACGUGUUAAAUAUCCCGCCUGGGUAGUACAUAUGCAAAUAUGAAACUCAAAGGAAUUGACGGGGACCUGAACAAGUGGUGGAACAUGUUGCUUAAUUCGAUAAUACACGAAAAACCUUACCAAGAUUUGACAUCCCCCGCAAAGGUAUAGAAAUAUACUGGAGGUUAUCGGGGUGACAGGUGGUGCAUGGUUGUCGUCAGCUCGUGUCUUGAGAUGUUUGGUUAAGUCCCGCAACGAGCGCAACCCUACUCUCUAGUUAGUAUGUUUAGAGAGACUGAACAGAAAUGUAUAGGAAGGAUAGGAUCACGUCAAAUCAUCAUGCCCCUUAUGUCUUGGGCUGCAAACGUGUUACAAUGGCUAGUACAGCGUGCUCGCAAACCAGCGAUGGUAAGCUAAUCACUAAAAGCUAGCCCCAGUUCGGAUUAAAGGCUGCAAUUCGCCUUUAUGAAGUUGGAAUCACUAGUAAUCCCGUGUCAGCUAUAUCGGGGUGAAUACGUCCCAAGGUCUUGUACACACCGCCCGUCAAACUAUGAGAGGGGGGGGCAUUUGAAACCGCAUUUAUUUGCGUCUAGAGUGAAUCCCCUGAUUGGAGUUAAGUCGUAACAAGGUACCCGUACGAGAACGUGCGGGUGGAU
This 1454-nucleotide ribosomal RNA is filed under the name Mycoplasma sp. N008. RNAcentral describes it as "16S ribosomal RNA". It matches the Rfam family "Bacterial small subunit ribosomal RNA". Lineage: Bacteria; Bacillati; Mycoplasmatota; Mollicutes; Mycoplasmatales; Mycoplasmataceae. The record is from RNAcentral.